Molecule: ribosomal RNA, 382 nt
Filed under: uncultured bacterium
Lineage: Bacteria
Description: partial 16S ribosomal RNA
Rfam family: Bacterial small subunit ribosomal RNA
Source: RNAcentral
UAGGGAAUCUUCCACAAUGGACGCAAGUCUGAUGGAGCAACGCCGCGUGAGUGAAGAAGGUUUUCGGACCGUAAAGCUCUGUUGUUGGUGAAGAAGGAUAGAGGUAGUAACUGGCCUUUAUUUGACGGUAAUCAACCAGAAAGUCACGGCUAACUACGUGCCAGCAGCCGCGGUAAUACGUAGGUGGCAAGCGUUGUCCGGAUUUAUUGGGCGUAAAGCGAGCGCAGGCGGAAGAAUAAGUCUGAUGUGAAAGCCCUCGGCUUAACCGAGGAAUUGCAUCGGAAACUGUUUUCUUGAGUGCAGAAGAGGAGAGUAGAACUCCAUGUGUAGCGGUGGAAUGCGUAGAUAUAUGGAAGAAUACCAGUGGCGAAGGCGGCCUCUG